RNAcentral lists this long non-coding RNA (1210 nucleotides) under Sus scrofa (pig). RNAcentral describes it as "lncRNA (ENSSSCG00015059957.1)". Lineage: Eukaryota; Metazoa; Chordata; Mammalia; Artiodactyla; Suidae. The record is from RNAcentral.
GCACAUCUUCAAGUGGAAAAGCCCCGGCUGGCACCAUCUUAAUCAGUGGAUCCGAGCAAACCCAAGCUGAGAGACAUUCUAGAAAAAUAGCUGGUCUUCAAAGUGGUCGAGUCAUGAAGGACAACGGAAAACUGAGGACCUGUCAUAGAUUAGAGGAGAUUAAGGAGAUGCGACAGCCAAAUGUAAUAUGGGAUCCUGGAUGGUGAUCCUAAAAGAGAAGAAGGGAAUUCUGGAAAAAAUGGUCAACGUUGAGUUAGAUCUGUAUUUUAGAUAAUAGUUUUGUUUCAGUGUUAAUUUCUUGGUUUUGGUCAAUGUGCUCUGGAAUUCAGAUGUUAGCCUUAGGGGAAGUUAAAUGAAUGUUAGGAACUCUUACUACUUCUUCAGCGUUUGUGUAGAUAAAAAAUAAUUGCUGCAUAAAAAGUUGUCUAAAGCUGUAUUAUUUAUCAGGUCAUCAGUUGGCCAGCAAUCUCAACCAUCUGGAACAGAACUGAAGUCCUAAAAUGAAAGAGCUUUCAAACACAAGAAAAUGAGUCAUCGCCAAGCCCAGGCAAUGAUAAUACCUGUAUGUUUGGGACCUAAACUUGAUCUUGGAUGUAACAUGCCAUCAAUGGCCUAAGGAAGAAGACAUUUCCUGAAGUGGCUUCCUCCUUUUUAUUCGUGAAGGAAAAACUAUGUUGGUGGCCCCUCAAGACUCCUGACAUCCACACACAGACUUCCCUUUGCAGUGGACAUUUAUGAGCCAUACGACCCUCCCUGGCGGGCUAUUAACUAUGCUGCUCAGGGAGCCACUCAAUUCGGCUCUCAACGCCUGAAGCAGACAGUGUUCCUGCCAAAGCCGGAUUCUUUCAGGUCGGUUUUAUACUCGUUUUAUACAUUUAUCCCCAGCUUCUGUGUGCUUUGCUUCUAACUGCUCUUACCUACAGCUUUCUUCAGGGAAAUACUCUUGAACCCCUGAGCCAAUAUGCCCUGUGUACAAAGAGCUAGAAGUUCCCGGAGGUUUAAAUCCUCUCCAGGUGGCCUGUAGCCAGGUGGGGGGUUGGAAAGCCCAGCUCCGUUGCCUUGAGGUAGGACAAAUUCUCAAGAUGUCAUUUAUGCUCCAGAGAUUCCUGCAGGGUCAGGCUGAGCCUAGAACGUUCCCUUGGAAUCAGCCCCUUCAUCCCGUGCUUCCUCUUGUCUGACCUACUUUCCUCACUCCUCUUCCAGCUUCUCC